UGGGGAAUCUUGCACAAUGGGGGCAACCCUGAUGCAGCGACGCCGCGUGAGCGAUGAAGCCCUUCGGGGCGUAAAGCUCUUUCGACCGGAACGAUAAUGACGGUACCGGGAGAAGAAGCUGCGGCUAACUACGUGCCAGCAGCCGCGGUAAUACGUAGGCAGCAAGCGUUGUUCGGAGUUACUGGGCGUAAAGAGUGCGUAGGCGGUUUUCUAAGUUCGGUGUGAAAUCUCCCGGCUUAACUGGGAGGGUGCGCCGAAGACUGGGAAGCUGGAGUGUGGGAAAGGCAGGCGGAAUUCCUGGUGUGGCGGUGAAAUGCGUAGAUAUCAGGAGGAACACCGGCGGUGUAGACGGCUUGCUAAACCAUAACUGGCGCUGAGGCACGAAAGCGUGGGUAGCAAACA
This 402-nucleotide ribosomal RNA is filed under the name uncultured bacterium. Its description in RNAcentral is "bacterial SSU rRNA". It matches the Rfam family "Bacterial small subunit ribosomal RNA", at positions 355 to 774 of the family's 1533-position model. The record is from RNAcentral.